AACACGCUUAAAAUUAUUAUUUUAAUAGUUUAAUGUCAAAUUCCAAUCACUGACUCAGAAGGCUUUGAGGAUGCAGUUUAAAACAUGUUCACCCUCAAGAAAAAGUGUCUAAUAAACUUGUGAAUAGGUGAUCCUCAGCUCCCUCCUGUGGUCAAUAGGUGUAUCCGCAUUAAUGAAAUAAACACGCACAGUGUGGACGCACAGUCAGUCGAGUGAACACUGAAGACAGAUUAAGGGGAUUUCUAUGAUAUUCCAGGAUAUUUUACAACAGAUUUGACUUUGUGAUUGUCUCGGCCAGCAGAAGAUCGAGAUCAGCUUUAACCUGAUGGAGUAAAACAGGUGAACUGGAAAGCUCAUGUAAACACUGGCAGCUAUGAAUGGACAAUCCUCCGAGACUCUGGAUCUCGACUCAAGAGUUUUUACUGAACGCCUCUUCCUCUGCUUCAGUAAUGAAGAUGUAAAGCUCUGAGUCUCUGGAUGGUUCAGGAUGGAUGAGUCUCUGGCUUCUACAGACCUGUGAUGACCAUUCAUUUCCAGCACAGGUUAAACCACAGCCAAACUUCAUGAGGACUGAUCAUUCAUCGUGCAUUUAAGGAUCUGUCGGUUUUGGUGUUGUCGUGGCAACAGGCGACCGUCAUGAAGCUGAGACGCAUACGCCGCCUAGUGGACCUGAUGGAGAACUGCGUUUGCUGGCAAUACUCCAUUACUUUGUGCUCUGGGCAAAAUCAUUUGACGAGACAUAAGUGUGAGAAUUGGAGAUUCAUAUUCAUAAAUUGGCAUCUAAUCAAACUAAUCUCUGAUUUAUUUAUUCAGGGGUAGAAUCAUGUUGAGUGAACGCAUCAAAACUGGACAAAAUAUCUUCUAGUACUCUUUUAAUGUGUCUUCGUGUCAAGUUUGUUUCACUUUUGUCUUUGAUGAUGUUAAUCACUUGGUUGACUAAUUUAAGUUGCUGAAUCACUGUUGGCAGAUUUAAGCAGCAUUUGUUGUAAACUUUGACUGAUUACUGAAUGCAUACGACAUGUUUCGACAAAUAAAGUCUGUUAUAUAAUGAAUAUUAAUCAUUUGUUUGCGUUUAUAACAUCAGCUUUAUUUAUUACAGAAAGAUGCAUUAGGGUCAGAUCAGUGUUUCAGCUCCAUCUUGUGGACAAUAAGUGGAUCUGCAUUAAUACUUGAA
Molecule: non-coding RNA, 1174 nt
Organism: Danio rerio (zebrafish)
Lineage: Eukaryota; Metazoa; Chordata; Actinopteri; Cypriniformes; Danionidae
Source: RefSeq, a predicted model, not a curated record